GCCGGGUGUGGUGGCGCACACCUGUAAUCCCAGCUACUCAGGAGACUGAGGUGGGAGAAUCACUUGAGCCCGGGAGGCGGAGGUUGCAGUGAGCCGAGACUGCACCACUGCACUCCAGCCUGGGCAACACAGUGAGACUCCAUCUCAA
Macaca fascicularis (crab-eating macaque) is the source of this 148-nucleotide unclassified non-coding RNA. It matches the Rfam family "Metazoan signal recognition particle RNA". From Rfam's summary of the family: The signal recognition particle (SRP) is a universally conserved ribonucleoprotein. It is involved in the co-translational targeting of proteins to membranes. NCBI's taxonomy places the organism in Eukaryota, Metazoa, Chordata, Mammalia, Primates, Cercopithecidae. The record is from Ensembl.